AUUGAACGCUGGCGGCAGGCCUAACACAUGCAAGUCGAACGAGUGGCGGACGGGUGAGUAAUGUCUGGGAAACUGCCUGAUGGAGGGGGAUAACUACUGGAAACGGUAGCUAAUACCGCAUACCAUCGGAUGUGCCCAGAUGGGAUUAGCUAGUAGGUGGGGUAAAGGCUCACCUAGGCGACGAUCCCUAGCUGGUCUGAGAGGAUUACCAGCCACCCGGGGACUGAUACACGGUCCAGACUCCUACGGGAGGCAGCAGUGGGGAAUAUUGCACAAUGGGCGCAAGCCUGAUGCAGCCAUGCCGCGUGUAUGAAGAAGGCCUUCGGGUUGUAAAGUACUUUCGGCGGUGAGGCGUUACCCGCAGAAGAAGCACCGGCUAACUCCGUGCCAGCAGCCGCGGUAAUAC
Molecule: ribosomal RNA, 406 nt
Filed under: uncultured bacterium
Lineage: Bacteria
Description: partial 16S ribosomal RNA
Rfam family: Bacterial small subunit ribosomal RNA
Source: RNAcentral